UUGAAUUAAAAUAGUAUAAAAAGAUUUGUAGGGGCUAAUUUUUAUGGUAAAAAAGUCAAUAAAAGAGGGAAAAUAAGAAAUGAAGGGGUACGGUGAAAUCCUUAAAGUUCCUUAUGCUGUUUGAAAAAAAAACAGAAGAAAAAUUUACCAUGAAAUAACAUGAAAAAUUAGAGACCUAUACGAAAUUUUCCCUUAUUUAUAUUAUUUAUCUUUUACAAACGUAUUUAUUUGUAUUUUAAUAGAGAAAAACACAAUGAUACC
This 261-nucleotide long non-coding RNA is filed under the name Amborella trichopoda. RNAcentral's name for it is "long non-coding RNA (ATRI_LNC002742)". Lineage: Eukaryota; Viridiplantae; Streptophyta; Magnoliopsida; Amborellales; Amborellaceae. The record is from RNAcentral.